GGUUCCACAGAGUAAUGGUUAGCACGUCUGCUUUACAUGCAGAAGAUCCUGGGUUUGAGACCCAGCAGAGCCA
This 73-nucleotide transfer RNA is filed under the name Pteropus alecto (black flying fox). It matches the Rfam family "tRNA". From Rfam's summary of the family: Transfer RNA (tRNA) molecules are approximately 80 nucleotides in length. Their secondary structure includes four short double-helical elements and three loops (D, anti-codon, and T loops). Lineage: Eukaryota; Metazoa; Chordata; Mammalia; Chiroptera; Pteropodidae. RNAcentral also lists the same sequence under 1 other name. The record is from Rfam by way of RNAcentral.